AUUGAACGCUGGCGGCAGGCCUAACACAUGCAAGUCGAACGGUAGCACAGAGGAGCUUGCUCCUCGGGUGACGAGUGGCGGACGGGUGAGUAAUGUCUGGGGAUCUGCCCGAUAGAGGGGGAUAACCACUGGAAACGGUGGCUAAUGCCGCAUAACGUCGCAAGACCAAAGAGGGGGACCUUCGGGCCUCUCACUAUCGGAUGAACCCAGAUGGGAUUAGCUAGUAGGCGGGGUAACGGCCCACCUAGGCGACGAUCCCUAGCUGGUCUGAGAGGAUGACCAGCCACACUGGAACUGAGACACGGUCCAGACUCCUACGGGAGGCAGCAGUGGGGAAUAUUGCACAAUGGGCGCAAGCCUGAUGCAGCCAUGCCGCGUGUAUGAAGAAGGCCUUCGGGUUGUAAAGUACUUUCAGCGGGGAGGAAGGCGAUGUGGUUAAUAACCGCGUCGAUUGACGUUACCCGCAGAAGAAGCACCGGCUAACUCCGUGCCAGCCGCCGCCGUAA
RNAcentral lists this ribosomal RNA (506 nucleotides) under uncultured bacterium. RNAcentral's name for it is "partial 16S ribosomal RNA". It matches the Rfam family "Bacterial small subunit ribosomal RNA", at positions 29 to 523 of the family's 1533-position model. The record is from RNAcentral.